AGAGUUUGAUCCUGGCUCAGGACGAACGCUGGCGGCGUGCUUAACACAUGCAAGUCACGGGGGCCCGCAAGGGCAACCGGCGAACGGGUGCGUAACACGUGAGCAAUCUGCCGAUUUCUGGGGGAUAGCCGGCCCAACGGCCGGGUAAUACCGCAUACGCUCUCUGGGGGACAUCCCCUGGAGAGGAAACCUCCGGGGGAAAUCGAGGAGCUCGCGGCCUAUCAGCUAGUUGGUAAGGUCAUGGCUUACCAAGGCGACGACGGGUAGCUGGUCUGAGAGGAUGGCCAGCCACAUUGGGACUGAGAAACGGCCCAGACUCCUACGGGAGGCAGCAGUGGGGAAUCUUGCGCAAUGGCCGAAAGGCUGACGCAGCGACGCCGCGUGUGGGAGGAAGCUCUUCGGGGUGUAAACCACUGUUGCCCGGGACGAAACCCGCUUUUCGAGGCGGUUGACGGUACCGGGUGAGGAAGCACCGGCUAACUCUGUGCCAGCAGCCGCGGUAAUACAGAGGGUGCGAGCGUUGUCCGGAAUCACUGGGCGUAAAGGGCGCGUAGGUGGCGGGAUAAGUGUGUGGUGAAAGCUCGGGGCUCAACCCCGAGUCUGCCAUGCAGACUGUCUUGCUUGAGCAUAGUAGAGGCAGGUGGAAUUCCGGGUGUAGCGGUGGAAUGCGUAGAGAUCCGGAAGAACAUCGGUGGCGAAGGCGGCCUGCUGGGCUAUUGCUGACACUGAUGCGCGACAGCGUGGGGAGCAAACAGGAUUAGAUACCCUGGUAGUCCACGCCGUAAACGAUGGGCACUAGUGCUUGGGGGAGCGACCCCUUGAGUGCCGGCGCUAACGCAUGAAGUGCCCCGCCUGGGGAGUACGGCCGCAAGGC
RNAcentral lists this ribosomal RNA (874 nucleotides) under uncultured bacterium. RNAcentral's name for it is "bacterial SSU rRNA". It matches the Rfam family "Bacterial small subunit ribosomal RNA", at positions 8 to 894 of the family's 1533-position model. The record is from RNAcentral.